GCGCUCUACCGGGGGUGCCAACACGCGCAUGGUCCCUGCUUGGUCCCUCGGCCUGGCUGGGGACCCCCAGGCGGAUCAGAAGGGACCCCAAAGACACACAACUCUUUCCUGGCCUGUGGAGAGAGUGUACUGAGAGCGCCCGUCACCAUAGCGAUGGGCGCAACAAGGAAGGUGGAAUUCCAGAGGUGGGGGGAGGAGUAGGAUGGAAUCUUUGCUUUGGAACUUGGCCUAAGUGCGUUGGCAUCCUGACUCCUUGAGAAAGAGCCGGUCUGGCGUCCCUCUCGCCGUUGUUUCCAGCAACGUGGCCCUUCUUCCAGCUUUAGGGUGUCCUAAGCCCUUCCAGCUGUCCAGGUCACACUCUGUCACAUGUCGGUGUGAAGAAGAACUGAUGAAAGACCUUAUCUACUGUUAUGGGUUGAACUGUGCCUCUUAAAAAAGGGCUUCCCAUUGCUUGAAGCCAACCAGAAGACAGAAGACAAGGCUUCCUGUUGGUUUGGUCCAUGAACCUGGACACAGAACAAGGGGAGGACAGAUGGAGAACGCCCCUGGAGGCCAUCUAGAAGGUCUCCAGCAUCAUUUCGUGUGGAGCCCUGAGUUAAAAGAAAAAUUAAAGAAUGGGCUUCUCUGGGGUUGACAGAAGCAAAUGUUCUGAGAAACGAGGUCAACUGCAAAAGGCCCACUAGCACCUAGUGCUCAGCUCACAGCCCACCUGCACCCUAGCAUACUGUCUGCAAGGAUUCAGCUCACAGCCCACCUGCACCCAACAUCCUGUCUACAAGCAUUCAGCCCACAGCCCACCUGCACCCUAGCAUACUGUCUACAGGCAUUCAGCUCACAGCCCACCUGCACCCAACCAUCCUGUCUAUAGGCAUUCAGCUCACAGCCCACCUGCACCUAAGCAAUCCUGUCUACAAGCAUUCAGCUCACAGCCCACCUGCACCCAACUAUCCUGUCUACAAGCAUUCAGCUCACAGCCCACCUGCACCCAACCAUCCUGUCUACAAGCAUUCAGCUCACAGCCCACCUGCAC
Macaca mulatta (Rhesus monkey) is the source of this 1030-nucleotide non-coding RNA. The record is from RefSeq and is a predicted model, not a curated record. Lineage: Eukaryota; Metazoa; Chordata; Mammalia; Primates; Cercopithecidae.